This 253-nucleotide ribosomal RNA is filed under the name uncultured bacterium. Its description in RNAcentral is "partial 16S ribosomal RNA". It matches the Rfam family "Bacterial small subunit ribosomal RNA", at positions 524 to 776 of the family's 1533-position model. The record is from RNAcentral.
UACGUAGGGUGCGAGCGUUAAUCGGAAUUACUGGGCGUAAAGAGUGCGUAGGCGGUUCUUGAAGUCCGCUGUGAAAGCCCCGGGCUUAACCUGGGAAUGGCAGUGGAAACUGGGGGACUUGAAUUGAGCAGAGGGGGGUGGAAUGCCGCGUGUAGCAGUGAAAUGCGUAGAGAUGCGGCGGAACACCGAUGGCGAAGGCACUUUACUGGGCUAUUACUAACACUCAGAGACGAAAGCUAGGGUAGCAAAUGGG